CUUGAUAAAAUAUAAGAGGUCCAGCCUGCCCAGUGAAAAUUCAACGGCCGCGGUACACUGACCGUGCAAAGGUAGCAUAAUCACUCGCCCCUUAAUUAGGGGCCUGUAUCAACGGCACCACGAGGGUUAUUCUGUCUCCUUUUUCUAAUCAGUGAAACUGAUCUACCCGUGAAAAAGCGGGUAUUUAACUAUAAGACGAGAAGACCCCAUGGAGCUUCAAACCAAAAGCAAAUUAAAUCCUUAUACCACUACAGCUAUUAUAUUAUGCGUGUCGGUUUUAGGUUGGGGCAACCGCGGAGAAAAAUUUAACCUCCACAACGAAAAGACCUGUCUUUAUCCCAGAGCCACCGCUCUAAGAACUAGGAUACUAACAGAUAAUGAUCCAA
This 386-nucleotide ribosomal RNA is filed under the name Feihyla cf. vittatus 2005.0109. Its description in RNAcentral is "partial 16S ribosomal RNA". It matches the Rfam family "Bacterial large subunit ribosomal RNA", at positions 1834 to 2423 of the family's 2925-position model. The record is from RNAcentral. Lineage: Eukaryota; Metazoa; Chordata; Amphibia; Anura; Rhacophoridae.